Molecule: long non-coding RNA, 828 nt
Organism: Aegilops tauschii subsp. strangulata
Lineage: Eukaryota; Viridiplantae; Streptophyta; Magnoliopsida; Poales; Poaceae
Source: RefSeq, a predicted model, not a curated record
UCCCUCACUACGCUUCUACACACCCUACCCCGAAGAGCUCGAGGAGGAGGAGCAGCUGAGCUAAUAGGCGAUGGAUUCCCAGGCGCCGGCCGGCGACAACCGCCGGAGCACCGACCUCAACAAGGCUGUGGACGAGCAAUCUCGACAAUCGGCGGCCAGCAAGCAGGCAGGUGCUCCGUGCGUCUACCUCAAGAAAGGCACGUGCGCGGAGGGAAGCAUGCGGCAUGACGCCCAUGGCCACGCGCCCCACCUUGCCGCAAGCCAUGCUCACUGAGCGUACCGUAUAGCAGCAGCCAGCAGCAGAGACAAUACUAUGUAUUGCCGCAAUACCAGUACUACGUACUUUCUACGUAUUUCUGCUCCGUCAUGUCUUCUUCUCUUCCGCUGCUUGCUGCUAGUAUCUAUCUAAGGCCGCCCCAUAUGGCCGUAUAUACAGUAAAAAGAUUGUAAUAAAUAAUGACCCACUCUGUGUGUGGUCCUUGUGAUUGCGGUCACGGUCGGUCUUGCGGGCUCCUCGAGCUCGUCGCUCGUGCUGCGUAGAUUCCUGCCGGCUCCUUCUUGGAGCGGCGAGGUUAGGGGUUUCUUGUCGUGUGUGUAUACGUUGGCGAGAUUAUUUGGUGUCUGGUUCAAGGGCUUCGAUGGCGACGACUGCAUCUCAUAUGCACGAAGACUUCCUGCCAGUCAUCAACAAGAUCGGGCCAACUGUGCUCCGGUAUGAACAGUGGUCGUUCGGUGGUCCAUGGACCUUGAUGUAAUAUUUUAUUAUGUUUGGGGUGCUUUGUACUUCUGGCGAGCCUUUAUAAUAAAGAUAAUUUAGUUACUAAGUGA